UUUUUUUUUUUUUUUUUUUUUUUUUUUUUUUCAUGC
This 36-nucleotide non-coding RNA is filed under the name Alexandrium minutum. Lineage: Eukaryota; Dinophyceae; Gonyaulacales; Pyrocystaceae. The record is from RNAcentral.